Long non-coding RNA from Homo sapiens (human), 2625 nucleotides. RefSeq annotates it as MAML3 antisense RNA 2. The transcript is spliced from 2 exons. Lineage: Eukaryota; Metazoa; Chordata; Mammalia; Primates; Hominidae. The record is from RefSeq and is a predicted model, not a curated record.
GGAUACUGCUUGUCCUAAAGAUUCAGGAGGAAUAGAACUUUCUCCAGGAACCCAGGGACUUAUCCAGGGAUGACAAUCUAACUUUUUAGGGUCUGAUUGAAAGAUCUGCAUCCUUGUGGACAAGAACUUAACUCUACAGAGGAGAUUCCUCCUGCCACAGGAUUACACCUGGAAAGAUUUUAACAUUCUUUUCCUUUGUCAAGUCCCCAAAGGAUACAUUCCUGAUAGGGAAUCCUAGAGUUUAUUCUCCCUUGAAUGACUAAGGCCCUAGGCAAAGCUGAAGAGGAGUCUGGAUUCUGUGAGAAUGAACAAGGCAGCUGCUCGGAGUCGGCUGCUGAGGGGGCCAUCUGUUUAAGCAACGAGAAGUACGGAGCUAAAGAGGCACACGGUAUUCAAACAUGUGAGUUCCCUGCACCAGGGCUUCUGGUCAGUUCUUCAAUCAGGAGAGAAAAUGAUGCUUAGGUGUUAAAGGUUCAGGGGGAGCCGAAAUGACUUCAAUUGCCAAAAUAAACAGAAUUGCUUAAUUAAUCUAACUAAAAAAUCCUGUUCAGCAUUGGAUUAAAAAAAUCAUGUUGAUGCUGCCCCUGUUUAUUUGGCUGAAUCCUGGACUGAGAGGGUAUAUUUAGCCUCAGUGUGCUUGCAGGAUUGCAUCUUGCAGCUCAACAGGAAAUAUCUGGAGUCACAGCUAAAGAUAUCUCUGCAUGUUCAGAAAUUUACGAGCAGCUGUAAAAGUGGAGCUAUGGUGGGCAGAGUGCUGGAACAGUCUCCCUUUCAAAUGAGAGAGGCCGCUGAAUUAAACACUUGAAUAUACCAAGUUCAUGGCAGGCAGAGGGCACCUGACAUGCUAAAAAUAGCCAAAGUGGAAGUGCUUCUGUUGCUAAAAUAAUACUGAACUGGUAUGCUCCUUUUCUCAACCCACAAGAAAUGGGUGAAGGGGUAGAGGGUAGGCUCUGAGAUUCCAAAAAGUGUGUCAGAAGCUAUGCCAAGUGAAAGUCAUUUCCUCAUUUUGCCACUUUUCAAAAAUAAAUAGCUUUCUUAAGCUGAGCAAACUGAAGUAGCAGUAAUCAAUAUAUUAUUUUUUAAUAACACGAGACAGAAAUGGUAGCAGCAAAAAGACACUGCAUACCUGGAUCUGUAGUCCUGCUGACAAGCAAUCCUGCUGACGAGCAAACCUUUUCCAUCAUGGGCAAGACUCAUUUAUUUUUAAACAUCCUUUUGCUAGACUCCCUUAUCAGCAACUCCACGCCCUGCUCACCAAUGCCCGGCUGGAAAGGUCCCUACUUACUCCUGUGCACAUGCCUGGCAAGGCUGCUUGCUAAACAGCAUGGACAAGGGGACGUCUGUGCCCCUGCAUGUUGCCGGGCAGAGGAGGCUACGACCUUUUCCCGAAUGGCCAUUAGGUCCAAGAGCCACUGAACUUUCAUUCUGUGACCGAGGACAUUGUCUCAUCUUUCCAAGUCUCACUUGCCCUUUUGCCUGAUGUGGGGCUAAUAGAGAUUACCCUGGUGGCCUCCUGAAGUUGCUGUGCAGAUCUAGUGAGCUAAUGCAUGCGAGAGCACUUUGUGACUCCCAAAAGCCUGAAACCUGAUGGAGGAUGUGGUUGCUGUUGUUAUUGGGCAUUCUACUGGAAACGCGGGGAAAGAACAGCAACAUCUCCCGGUGAUAAGGGAGUGCUGUGCACAGACAUUGAGUGUGUUCUCUUUUGUGGGAUGGUGCCAUCUUCCACAGGUACAAGCACUGUCCACAUCCCACUGAGAGCAGCAGGGGCCACAGGAAGUCCGCUUGCUUUCAAUGAGCUUGGCAUGGCUCACUGCCGGCAUCGCGGCCACACUCCUGCUUCAGUGACUGCACCUACUCUGGGCAGCUCCCAAUGCAGGGCUGGGCCUGGGUUCACGGGGAAGCAGGGGCUGAGACAGAGGUGAUAACAUAGGAUGUGACUGUUUAAAUUCACCUGGCUUCGGUCAACAUUGACAGAAGGUGUACAUGACUCUACGGGAAUGGGGAAAUGGCAGCACCAGGGGCUGACUGAGCCCCAGUCCUGACUGUGACUGCUUUGGUAACAACAAGGUGUUUAGGAAGAACAGUCCCAGUCCUUUUCCAAAGGUCGCCUCCUGGUGUUUACUAAAGGAACUCUGAGUCUCAGCAGAAGCAGAAGUCCUACCAUUAGCUUGCAGAACCCUUCAGGAUGGGAAAGAAGACUUGGGCUUCAGUGACUCAGCCUGGAGCUGGGAACAGGCAGGCAGGGAUACAGAGUGGGUGUUCUUCUCCUACAGGAGGAGAGAUGCAUCCCUCAUGCCCAGAGAGGCUCUGGGGUCCCCGAAUCCAGAGGUAGUAGAAGAAGAGUCAAAACACACUCUCCUGAGAACACAUCUCAGGUGCAUGGAACACAAGACACGCUGCUUUGAUUAGGGUGCUCUCUUGUCCAUUUUGUUCUAUAAUCCACAAGAGAAGACCAUCUGCACAGCAGUGACAUGCUCUAGUUGACCAUGAUGAGCCUUUCCUAGGGAAACUAUUUUGAGUGGUAUAUCUUACAGGAGACUGCAAGGCUCAAUAGUACAGUCACCAGGAAAAUCUACAUGUAAAUAUGACACUUAUGAACCGGCAAUAAAAUAUGGUGAGUCUAAA